Molecule: unclassified non-coding RNA, 257 nt
Filed under: uncultured fungus
Lineage: Eukaryota; Fungi
Description: partial contains 5.8S ribosomal RNA, internal transcribed spacer 2, and large subunit ribosomal RNA
Source: RNAcentral
AACGCACAUUGCGCCCGCCAGCAUUCUGGCGGGCAUGCCUGUUCGAGCGUCAUUUCAACCCUCAAGCCCCUCCGGGUUUGGCGUUGGGGAUCGGCCACCGCCCAAGGCGGCUGUCCCCGAAAUCCAGUGGCGGCCACGCCGUAGCAUCCUCUGCGUAGUAGAAACACCUCGCACUGGGACGCGGCGCGGCCACGCCGUAAAACAAACCACUUCUGAAGGUUGACCUCGGAUCAGGUAGGAAUACCCGCUGAACUUAA